Molecule: non-coding RNA, 216 nt
Organism: Paramuricea clavata
Lineage: Eukaryota; Metazoa; Cnidaria; Anthozoa; Malacalcyonacea; Plexauridae
Source: the annotation of a GenBank genome assembly
AGUGAAGCGAAUAGCGCGAAUAGUCGACGAAUAGUGCGAAUAGUCCGCGAAUAGUCGACGAAUAGUGCGAAUAGUCCGCGAAUAGUCGACGAAUAGUACGAAUAGUCCGCGAAUAGUCGACGAAUAGUGCGAAUAGUCCGCGAAUAGUCCGCGAAUAGUCGACGAAUAGUCGACGAAUAGUGCGAAUAGUCCGCGAAUAGUCGACGAAUAGUGCGA